Molecule: long non-coding RNA, 6068 nt
Organism: Oryzias melastigma (Indian medaka)
Lineage: Eukaryota; Metazoa; Chordata; Actinopteri; Beloniformes; Adrianichthyidae
Exons: 3
Source: RefSeq, a predicted model, not a curated record
UUGAUUUGUUUCCAAUUGGACUGAGUUCUGGUUCGCUCUGAGUUUCUUAGUCUGAAUAGGCUGAGUGCUCGGAGUGGAACAACUGGAACAAAAUGGCCGCAUAGCCGGGCAUAACGUGAUGUAACUAGAGAGACAUGGACAAACGCUGAACAACAAUCAAAUUAAAACAACCUUUAACUUGAUACUCAUUACUUCACUCACUGUUUUCCCAACAACCUAUACAUCAUAAACACUUAUCAACAAACCUUGAGCCAAACCAAGAUGACUCAAAGAAUAAAUAUUGGUAUUUACUGUUCCCCAAAAAACAAAAACAACAACUCUGAGAGCGUGUUACCACCACUGCAACGUGAACCGCUCUUUCCCCAAACUGUCAAAAGUUCUCCCCUCAUUAAGGCUUAGCCCCUCCCACAGGCCAAUUAACCAAACAUUUCUUUAAAUAAAACUCCUGCCUCACACCCGGGGAUGUCCUAAACAAAAGUAGAAAUAAUCAAACGUUAUUUUAACAGAAAUAAGUUUGAGACAAAAGCAUUUUGACAAAAAGAAAAAACUUGUGGCAUGUGACGUCACUUCCUGUUUCCUAUAUUUGUAUGAUGACGUGUACAAUCCUCAGGUUGGAAUGUUUGUGGUGGGAAGCCUGGAUGACUCAAAGAAAGGAACAAAGACGCAGUGUUGGUCUGGAGAGGUCAAGGCAGCUGGUGCACGUUGCCCGAGGCAGGCUGCCAUCACCCCCAGGCCUGAGCUGGGAGCGACAGUGCAGCCUCCCAGCCUCCAGAUGGCUCCAUCCCCUACGGCACUUUACUGCUGCUGUGACAUCUGUCAGAAUAACCAAGUUGCUUUUGUCUGCGCCCCCCACCCUCCUCGCUCUGCAUUCUACACUUGCAGCUCCUACAAACUGUUUGUGAAAAUAUAUUUCGGGGAAAUGCAUCUCUGAUGAUGUGACGAGUUGUGACAUUUGACUGUUGCUUGAUGACAUUAAACUAUGAGAAAGCGUUCAUUAGCCAAGCGCGUCAAACGUGACGGACUCACCUCGACUCGGGAAAUUUCGUCAAGGUGGCCAGGCUGCUGGUGUACAUGUGGCCGCCCACGUCGAUGUGCACGGGGGCGUUGGACUUGGUGAGCUGUGCCGGCGUAGGGAUGCCCUGGUUACUCAAGGGGGACACUGGUGAGCGUGUGAUCAUGGGUCUGGACAUGCUGGAGCGGUUAUCCUAAUGGAAGCAGAGACACAAAAAAUUCAAAUUAAAAAAGAUGAUUGUGAACUGUUUGCCAAGAGUUAAAAACAAACUAUUUUUUCCUGCAGGAUGGAGCAGCCUGACCUUGACCUGGAUGUUGCCACAAUCCAUGAGCAUCUCCUCCUGUGGGCCAUGAUCUCCAAAUUAAUUUGGGGCAUCAAUCUCUUUUGGAGACGAGCAAUAAUGACUCUUGAUUUGAAUACCAUAAUAGGAUUUUUUAGAGGGGAAGCUGCAUGAUGUUAACCUACAAACACCAUUUGGAGACACUUUUUGGAAGAAAGUUUUAGCGCCGUCUCUGCAUGAUGGUCAAGACGAAUGAAUGAGUUUAACAAUAAUAUUAAAGUGGUGAAAGCUGCAGAAGGCUGUGCGCAGUUUGUUGUAAAUGACGCAAGGGGAGGCUAAAACAUUGCGUUUUUUUUGUUUUAUUUUGGAAGUUGUUUGCGCGUCUUACCUGCGCCGGCAUGACUGCGGUCGGAGAGGAAUUCACCGAGUGGUCGUUUUGCUUGAGAGAUGCUGCGGGGAGAGGCUCUCCUCUGACCGCGAACAUCAGCGCGGGCUCCCUGCACUCCGCCGCCCGCAUCGGCAGCCGUUUGAGGGACGCGUGCACGGACUCGUCCACGGAGCUGACCGGGCGCGGGCGCUUCUUCGCUUUCUGGUGCGUCAAGUCCAUGAUAUCCGUUUCCUCCAUCGCGGCUAUUAAGAGAUCGGACGAGGUUGAUUGGUGUGAGAUUUAAAAAUAAAAAAUAAAAAAAAGACGCGAUUGCGCGCGAGGAUCACCGGGAGGAAGAGCGGCGGCGGCGCCGUGGCUGUCACGCGGAGCAGCUCCUUUGCAGUGGCGGGGAGAAGUCAAAGCCCCCGACAACAUUAGCAUUGUAGCGCCCGCGGCGCUUCUGGGCUGUCGCUGCUUCAGUGGCAGGUAUGUGUGCCGCAUUUUCGGAGUAAAACGGUUCCUGCCCGACAAAAAAAAUGAGGCGGACGCACAUCUGGACCCUACGCAGCUGGCCCUUUGGCCCCGUGGAGCGGCUCGGUCACCUCCUCCUCUAAUUUCAGCUCCCAUUCUUCAGCUCCUCUUUUUUUCAGCUCUAUUUUCAGCCAAGACUUCUUAAAAAAAUCAAAUCUGUGACAUCACUCUGUUUAACAUGCUCAACUACACGUCCCUGAACGCACCACUACACUCAGAACCGACUCACCUGAUGCGUUCAAAAGCACCAAAUUCCUCAGAAAUUACAACAUCCUUCGCACAAACACAUUUUAAAACUGAAAUUUGUGGUUCUGACAUGCAAACAGGCUCUGUUACACCUCCGGGCAAAACCGAGCCCCAAUGACACCACAACACAUGUUAGACCCCAUUGUCUGAAGAUGGUACAAGUUCGGCCCAGAUGUUGAUUUCUGGACACACACAACAGUCACCAUGUAGUGCCAUAACUGAUAAGAUUUGUCUUUUAUCUGGGUUUACUACAAAAAGGAACCCAAAUAAAUCACUUUUAGAAACUUCAUUUGGUUUCUAGAAAAAGAAAGUUUAAAAAGAUUUUAUUUUUUCCAAGUAGUUUUAUAAAACUACACAAAAACACCUCCUCCAGCGACAUGUGUACAUGGGGUAACAAAAACAGACACGUCUAACUCCACUUUCUUUCCCAGCACUCUUCCAGGAUAAGAUUUUCAGAAGAAAAUGCAGAGAAUCGAGGUUUUUCAGAUCUAUUUUAAGUUAAAAGUUCUAAAAAAAAAAAUCUUUAACAUCACUCUGUUUAACAUGCUCACUUCUAUGUCCCUGAACGCACCAUCCCACUCAUAACCGACUCACCUGAUGCAUUCAGGAGCACCGAAUUCCUCAGACAUUUCAACACAUUUUGAAACAGAACUUUGUGGUUCAAACAUCUAAACAAUCUUUGUCACAAUGACCCACAUCUGCAUUCUCCUUUUCCUUAUUUUGCCUUUUUUUCUGAGCCUUUGGACAAAACCGAGCCCUUAUGAUACGUAUCUCAACUAUGUCAGACCCCAUUGGUUGAAGCUGGUACAUGACAGUGAGACCAAGUUAGGCCCAGCUAUUGAUUUCUGGUCAUAAACACAACCAUGCAGUGCCAUAACUGAUAAAAUUGCUCUUUUAUAUGGGUUUUUAGUACAAAAAUGUACCCAAAUAAACCACUUUUAGAAACUUCAGUGGGUUUCUAGAAAAAGGAAAGUUUAAAAAUAUUUUAUUUUUCCAAGUAGUUGUAUAGAACUACACAAAAACACGUCCUCCAGCGACGUGUGUAUAUAUAUGGGGGUACAAAAACAGACACGUCCAACUCCACUUACUUUCCCAGCACUCUUCCGGGAUAAUUUUUCAGAAGAAAAUGCAGGGAAUCCACAAAUUUUAAUAACAUUCAGAUUAAAAUUAAUUAGUUCAACCACUGGCCUUAAAACAUCCACAUUUCUGCUUCUCAUUGGCAGUGUUGGUUUCACACCUAGACACCCAAUUAGCAAUUAAGCUUGCCUUUGAGUGUAGGCCUCCAAUGCAGUGUGUGAUCCUGGUUUGAUUUGCAUGCCACUUGUGCACGCGCUGAUAAGCACAGGCAGCAGCCAUACAUAGUUUUAAAAUUCAACUCCAGAAUCCCUCGCAGAAGGCAAAGGGGCCUGCGGGGCAUAAGAGAGAGAAAUCACAUGGCUGCUCUUCAAAAGGGGACCUGUGUAAGGCAGCCGGCAAAGUGCGUGGGAUCACACUCAGAAUGCAGAUCGAUGUUGUGGCCGGAGACAGACUUGACCCCGCAGUCUUCAGUUUCCACCUCUUUGUAAGUCCCUGAUGGGGCCUUCUUGAAGAUUUGAUGCAUUUUCUUCUUUAUCUCAGGGUCGGGGCAGUACAGGUACUCGUAAAAACCUGCAGCCAGCAGCCCUCCGAGAAUGGGACCCAGCCAGUACACCUACGAAAACAAAGGAGAGGCUUUGGUUGGUGGCAAUCCAUUGAUUUUCUUCCCCAUGAUUUCAUUUAAAAAGUGGAACAGUUUGGUUUUAAGAUGAGAAUUGGGGAAUCACAUAACAGUUAUAAAUUUAAGCCGCAAGCAGGGCCGGCCCUGGGCAUAGGCAACGUAGGCGGCUGCCUAGGUUGCCAUCUGGUGGAGGGGGCGCCCAGUGAUUUUUUUCUUUUCUUUUUUUUGUUAAACAGUCUGACACACCACUCAUUUGAAGUAAAAAUAAAAAUAAUGUCUGUGUUUGGGGGAGGGGAGGAGAGGGAGGCGCUUCUUUAAAACAUUAAGGAUGAAAAAAGGAAGAGGAGGAAACAACGACUCAAAACAGAGGUUUGUAUGUUUUUUUUAAUAUAAAAUUACAUGGGAAUUUACUCUUCCGGUUCAUUUUGGUAGAAAAAGACAAAUUUAACUGGCGAUCUAGUGUUUUUUUUUCCUCCCAACACCUUAAACAGCUAAAAUUCCCCUAAUUUCCAUGAAAGUAUUAGCUGAUCGGUGGUGCAAUUAGUUAGCACGCUUGAUUUCAAAUGCAUGGUUACCCAGUUCGGUGUUGUUGUAUGGCCUGCAGGGCUAGCCACCCUUGGUACUCCCCCACCUUUAACCCACUUUCACAGGUUGAGCAGCUGCUUCAGUCACUUUAACCUCCCCCGCUGCCUGGCCAGAGCUCCACACGAUAAAUUUAUGAAAAAAUACUUUUUUUCAAAAUGGUGGCUUUUCUGUUGGUUUUUCUCCAUAGCAACAAUUUUAAGUUUUGGCAGCCUAAGAGUGACGGACAGGUCUAUGUCAUUUUUUAGAAGAAUUGGCAAAAGUACAUUUUUGGAUUUCCUUGGCAACAGAGGCUUUUAGUGAACCACAUCCACAUUCCUUAUAUAGUCAUAUCUUAUGUUAUUUUGUUUCAUUCAGCUUGAUCCAAGGAUUCAUGUAAUCAAUUUUCUCAAUAUAAAGGUAAAAAAUAUGCGACCAAAAGAAGAACACCACUUUUAGGAGCUUGCAACGCUAGCGUGGUUCAAAAUCUACAACUUCAAAUUCCAACAUUUUUUCCAAGUAUUUCCCCAAUGAUGGUCGAGGAAUUAGGAGGGGAUCGAUAAAAAUCUUAGAUGAAAUUUGUAGUUUUUUUUUUCGUUCUUUUGUUUUUUAAUUCAAGCUGGCAGCCUCUUCCCGAGGUCAAAAGUCAACAAAACUACAGUGGUGGUUGUUGAAGAUGGCAGGAUGUGUGUGUAAUUUUGUAAAUCUUGCUCAAACUAAAGUUAAUUUUCCUAUAUUGUGGGAAGAUAUGAAAAUGGAGAAGUUCUAUGCUUUGCCACAAAAUGGCCAUCAUGCUGCAGUACCUUUGACCAUCCCAUAAUAAUUUCAAAAGUUCCGUUAGAUAUCCUGUCUCGUGUGUUUUUUGUUAGAGAAUUGGAAAGCUCUGUUCAUUUCUUUGAUGGUUUCUCCUGCUGUGAUAUCGACAAUUCUUUUUUUUUUUGUUUUUUUUCUUUUGUCUUUCAAUGUCAAAAUUAAUUUUCACCGGUUACUAGGAGUGUCCAAAUUUUGGUGACUUUUUAAGUAUGUGGCAGUAAUGCAAUUAAUUAAUUAUUUAGUAAUGUAAUUACUAAUGUCCAGUAAGAAAGAAGAAUUACGAAAACAAUCUGGUAAACAAUGUAAAAAUGUGUUCAAUUUAAUCAAUUUAAAAUGUUAUUUCUUGAAUAAAUAAACAAGGGAACAUACAGUAGUCUGCACUACAUCAUGGAUAGGCAACUCCAGGCCUCAAGGGCCGCAGUGUCUACAUGAUUUCCAAAUAUCCAAGCCCUACUCAUAAGUGAUUACCUGGUUCAAGUGUGUCCAACCAAUUAGAAGAUCCCAUUUUGGAAAACAUGCAGGAGUUGCAUAUCAUACAGUAAAUGUGAAAAAAAAAAAAAAA